Molecule: ribosomal RNA, 422 nt
Filed under: uncultured bacterium
Lineage: Bacteria
Description: bacterial SSU rRNA
Rfam family: Bacterial small subunit ribosomal RNA
Source: RNAcentral
UGAGGAAUAUAGGUCAAUGGGGGCAACCCUGAACCAGCCAAGUCGCGUGAAGGAUGAAGGUCUUAUGGAUUGUAAACUUCUUUUAUACAGGAAUAAAUUGGGGGACGUGUCCCCUUUUGCAUGUACUGUAUGAAUAAGGAUCGGCUAACUCCGUGCCAGCAGCCGCGGUAAUACGGAGGAUCCGAGCGUUAUCCGGAUUUAUUGGGUUUAAAGGGUGCGCAGGCGGGAUGUUAAGUCGGCGGUGAAAUUUUGCAGCUCAACUGUAAAAGUGCCUUCGAUACUGGCUUCCUUGAGUGUAGAUGAAGUAGGCGGAAUUUGUGGUGUAGCGGUGAAAUGCUUAGAUAUCACGAGGAACUCCGAUUGCGCAGGCAGCUUACUAAACUACAACUGACGCUCAUGCACGAAGGCGUGGGGAUCAAACA